Long non-coding RNA from Bacillus rossius redtenbacheri, 9221 nucleotides. RefSeq lists it as uncharacterized. The transcript has 2 exons. Lineage: Eukaryota; Metazoa; Arthropoda; Insecta; Phasmatodea; Bacillidae. The record is from RefSeq and is a predicted model, not a curated record.
AGUACUCGUGUUGAGGUUAUGUGUUGACAAACGUUGUGGGUUACUGAUUAAUAAGAUUAGUCGCAGUAAAUAAUAUUGUAAUGUAAAAAUUGAAUAUGUCUCUGCCGUAUUUGUGGGGGACCAAAUGUGCCGCAAAGGGUUGUAAUUCUAAUCCUAGAGAGCGGCGGUUUUUCCAUUUUCCAAACACCAAGACUGCUUCUUCGAAGAUAAGGUGUCAAAAUGGAUUGAAUGUGUCAAAACUGACAAAAUCAGUGCAACAAACUUAUUUUUGUGCUAAUUGCAUUUCGAUGGCAGACAGUUUCGGGAUGCUGAAAGAACGUUAUUGAUGUAUGGUGCAGUACCUACUAUUCCUUCACUUGAUAGCCGACAGAAUACAUGUAUGACAUCAUAUACUGAGUGUCAAACUGCUGAUGCUAGUGUAGGCCUACAUGUUUGUGUCGACAGCGAGUUGUGUAGUGAAGAUGCUUUUGCACAAGUUCCAGUUAAUUGUACACCGUACAAAGACUCAUGUGUAGAAGCUUUUCCUAACUGUAGUGUUGAACAUGAUGAUGUUUCUGUGCAUCCUGCUAAAGAUUCAUUUUCAAGUAGAGUAGUUUCAGAAGGUGAGCAAUGUGAAGAAAAUUUACAAACAUGCGAGGUUUUGUGUGAUCACCCGUAUGCAAAACAGACAUCAAUAAUUAGUGCCCAAACUGAGUGUGAUGUAUCAAAUACCAAAGGAAACAAUGACAUUCGACCUACCAAUUGUGUAAAUUCAAUUUCGCCAGUUUUAUAUGUGAAUGAUUUACCAGUUGCAUCAUCCAAUCCAAAGUUGAAACCAGUGAGGCUGUUUGAUAGCAAAUGUAAUGAAAAAUUUGAAGGAAGUGACACAAAAUUUGGUGAGAGUCCUUCAUGUAAUGUGACAUCAAAAACUUUCAAGGGAAGAAAUAAAUAUUUAAAUAUUCUUGAUUGCGAUUCCUAUAAGGAAAUAACACCUAGGAAGAAGAAAUUGAUUAAACUGCUUGUUGCCCAAAAACAACACACAUUGUUAAAUAUAAAAAAAAAAUUCAGAAACAAAACCUCACUUUGAAAGAAUUAUUAAAUAAAGAUUGUGAUGCUGUUAGAAUGACAGAGUGGUUGUCAAAGUCAAUGUCACUUGCAUCUGCAAAUUUCUUGGCUUCACAAAUGCGGUGCGGCAAGAAGAAGCCUAAAGGAAGAAGAUGGACACUAACAGAUAAGAGGUUUGUUUGACUCGAGGUCUCUCGUGCCCCUUGGGAGUUGAAAGAGUUGGGAGCAAGUUGACCUGAGGGCAAAAGGAGUCGGUAACUUUUAAUACACGAAGAAAAUGCUAUUUGUUGUUAAACAAUGUGGCGGAAAAUAUAGCAGACAUCGUGAGAAAUUUGUUUGGAAAUGAAGAUUCAUAUGAAGAUGAAGUUGUUAUUGAUUUACCAUAUAUUGGACUACAAAUUAUGAGAGAGCUUGAUGAAGGUAAAAAUAUAUAAAUAUUGCUUUUUGACUUUAAACCGCUUGUGGUAUGCAUAAGCUAACCUGUACUAGGAAACGAUUGCAAAUCUUGUGAUUUUUAAAUAAAGGACGCCAAAUAAGUUAUAUUGAAUUGUUUUUCCGCUUCAAUGUCGUCAUCUAAUUAAAAUAUUACCGUCAUCACCAAAUGUAGCUUGAUAACAUAUUGACUCCAUCGUCAAAGUCGCGCCAAAACAACCAGCAGACGACUUGCCCUCGCAACUCUUCCUCGAGAGGAGGAGCAUCGAGAGCAUGACCUGAGUGACCUGAGAGCAACUUGCCCCCGCGAGUAAAACGACCAUCCGCCAUACUGCUUCCGGAAAAGGGCGCCCCGAGAGUUGACAGGUCAAAAAGAGACCUCGAGUCAAACAAACCUAGAGUGAUGGCAUUGUCUGUAUACAAGAAGUCACCAAAGUGCUUUGAUCACUCCCAAGUCACCUACAGAAUGCUUCACAAACUGACCGACUGUCACCUGGACCCCAAAGGCAGAACUGCAAUGAAGGUGGCUUUAGCAGCCCAGGUUCUCAGCCACUCUACUGCUGCUGCAAUUGAUUCUCUUGUAGCGUCUGUUGAGUUCUUUCAUUUUACAACUGUGUAAAUCUUUUGUAAGAUUUCUUGGCCAGGUAAAAGUUUUGUAUUGCGUAUCCACUUUUAUUCCUUUAUCCUAAUGGCAUGAUCCUGAAUGCAUUGAUCGUCUGGUACAUGAUGCUUGCUGUUUUAAUUUACUUAGUUCAUUAAAAGAUCACGAAUAAAACAAAAAUUGUGACAUCAAUGAAUUAUGAUUGUAUAAUCAGAUCAAAUAAAAAUCUGAAUUUUUUUUACUCUCUAACUUUGUAAUGUAAUAAUUUUUGUUAUGUCCAGGAUCUUUAGAUGUAAGCAUCAUCUACCACAGGAUCAAUCAUGAAGUAUCAUGCCAUCAGGAUCAAGUGAUGCAUGAACUUGGAUACGUGUUCAGUUGUACGUACUAUCCCAGUUAUAUACGCAGUAUAUACACAUUAAAAGUAAAGUUUUUCGAUAUUCAUGCUAUUGGUUUAUUUUUGAUUAAUAUCUUGUGAGAUACUGAUUGAAAGAAGAAAGAAAAGCCUAAUAGAUGUAGACUGUAGGGGCUAUUAAGAUCAUGGAAAUUGUGGGGUGAAAAUUUAAAGUUCUGAAAAAUUAAAUUAUACAUAUUGUAAAGUUUUGUUCAGAAAAAGGACUAGGAAAAUUAUGGUGCAUAGUAAAUAUAUAUUAUCCAGGCUCGUGCUUUUUUUUUGUUGGGGAAAGGGACGAGGAAAAUUCUGGCAAGUACACAUGAAAUGUCUAUUAGGCUUGUACCUAUUUAUCAUUGUAGGGCAUAGAAUGCUUUGUGUUAAACAAAAAGUGUUUCAUUUGAAAGUUUUUCUAUUAGUUACAUAUGUAAUAUGGUGCUCUAAACGAACAAUUUCUCUCAAAUUCAUGGUCAUGCCCUCUAUUGUUCAUAUUAAAAAAUUGGCCAUAUUACUUCCACAUAAUUUAUCGGUAUUUACAAUUUAAAAAGGGCGGUUUAUUAUAUGAGCAGUGUAGGUUGUGUUUAAUGUUGCACAAUGUAACCUAAUCCUGUCAUAGUUGAAUGUUAAGUCUACUGUAAAAAUUUUUGCAACUACAACAUUGUUUUAAACAAAAAUGUGUUCAACGUGACUUUCUCAGGGAAUGUGGCUAUGGAGAGAUUUGCCAAAUUAUUUGUUUUGUUAGUAUUUAUGUAAUUUGCAUUAAAUACUGGCCGAGUAACAUUAACCUCGUUUACCAUUGAUCGCACAUUUGAAAUGCUUGGAUCUGUUGGAAAGUGUACUAAGGGUGGUUUUGAGAUAUAUUGAAAUUUUUUUUGGUACUAGAGUUUUAAGUGAUCAUUUUUUUUCAAAGCUUGUUUUAUUUGUUUGCAGGCAAACUAGAUGCCAGUGCUCUUGGGACAGCACAUUUUGUUGCUUUUUUCAACAAAUUAUUUGACAGUGUCAACGGUGCAGCAGCUAGGCCAGAAGGAGCUGGCGGGCUUAGGUGUCUGCUGCGCAAAACAAGAGAGAAGUCCCAUUUGAUGUUUUGGGAAGAAAGUAUUGACCUCAUUAAGCAGUGGAAGGUGGAGAAGUGUAUGGCUACCCAGGAGAAUACAAAUACUUCCAGGUGUACUAAGUAUUUUUCCCCACCAUGUUUGAGUGGCUGGGUAAUUACUCUUAGGGGAAUGAAUCUGCUAUGAGGAAAGUUAAAGGAGUUAGGUUUCACAUACUUGCAACCUCGAAGUGUGAAUCAAGACCCAAUCGAACAUGUGUUUGGGUGCAUUCGAGCCAACUGUGGCUCCAAUGUUAAUCCUACCGUGCCACAGUUUGUUUCUGCUUUGAAAGCAUCCAUGAUAAAUGGUUUGGCGAUGGUCGACAACAGAUCCAACUGUGAAGCUGAACUGGAACCUUGUGAGCUUCUAACCAAUUUACGUGAAUUUGUUACAUGUUCUCCUGGUAUUCCGAGUAAACAAGGCAAUAGCUCACAAGAAACCUCUACAACCACCAGCUGUACUGUGGAACUUGGGAACAUAGAUUAUUCAGUUGCGUAUGUAGCUGGAAGUAUUGCAAAAAGGAUUUUAAUGAAAAGUAAUUGUAAAAAUUGCAAGCAAGUUCUGGUAACUUCAAUGCCUAAUGACUAUCUCCAUAGCUGCAUAAUUUUCAAAGAAUAUUCAUCCCGUAACCAAAGUCUAACCUACCCUGCUGAAGAACUCAUUGUGUGCGUUGGGAGUGCAGCAACAGUUCUUGAGACUAUCAUUCCGGAGAUUGCCCAAGGAAGUGCAGUGCUGUCCAAACUUUUAUCAGUAAUGAAGGCACAUGUUGACUUUGAAUGGCUGAAAGUGGGUUGUCCAUUGCAUGUAGAAACACUCAAGGACAACAUAUUGUCAUCAGUGUGCCACAUAUCCAUACCGUGGUGGUGUACGAAAAGAAAUCGUGAUUUAUCGAAUUCCAUCAAGAAAAGGCUUGAAUCCCGUAAAAUAAAAAUCUUAAAACAUAAAUGACUUGAAAAAGAAGGUAAUGAAUAUGCAAGAAAAAUUAAUUUUUAUUUGUUUCUUACAGUAACAUACUUGCCAGUUCCUCCAUCCAUUUUUCUGUGGGUAAUCUUCUUAGCACCAUGACAUUAUGUAAAAUUAAGUUCGGAUGAAUUUAAAUAUUGCUAAGGGGACAUUUAUUUUGUUUGUCGUUGAUGAUGAAAUUUUAGAUGUGACAAAUUACUAUUAUGAAUUAAUUGAAUAAAAGUAAUUUAAAUAAUUGGAGAAUAAAUGUCUCAGGGUGUAUAAUAUGAAAUAGUAUGAAAUAAGUUUUAUAAAGCAAAUAAUAAAACAUCCUUAUCAAUGAAUCCCAUGGUGUAACUCUUUUUCAGCAGCAUAAUGUCAGUGUCCAAUAAAUAAAACCUUUGAAAAUAGCAAUCCAAAUACUUUUAAUAAAUUAUUCUUGAAUGAAAACUUAAACAAUGCAGAGAGAAAAUGAAAUAAAUGAACUCUUUGCAUAGCACACUAUUACAAUUAAAUUUACAAACAAAUGCAAUUGUAUUAUGCAUUAGUAAUGUCUGUAAUUAAAGCAUUAAUUUAAGUUUUUUUUGUAAACUUGAAUUUCACUUUGUACAUACAAAGGUUAACUUUUAUAAAAUAUUUGGGUACAAUUAUUUAAGUUGUUGAUUCUUGUGUAUUUAUUUUUGAAUUAUUGGAUGCUUUGCAUUACGUUUACCCCUGACAUUUUAAUUUGAAGUGUGCAUAUAAUUAUCUACGAUGACAUUUACAUAUCAGUACUGUAAUGUUUUUUUUUUUUGCAUUAGUACUUAAUAUGAUCUGUUCAUAUUCAUACUGUUGGUGCUGCAGCAUUACACUUAGGAGAAUAGAGCUUCAGACACUGUUCUAGGUAAUAUAAAUUUGUGCUUACCAAAUAAUUCAUCUUAACUUUUGUUACCUAACAAUGUAUCUAAAGAUAUAACCUGUGCAAUUGUCAGAAUCACCUGUGUUGAGUGAUGUAACAGUUUGUGACAUGUUACUAAUGUGCCUUCAGUGUUAAUAACAGUAGCAGUGUUUUAGUCAGUACUGAGGAGCUGUUUAUAUGAUGAUGCACUGUAAACAUAUAUCAGUUUAUUCACCUUCACCGAUUUGAACAAUUGAAUGUUGACAUAUCGUUAAUUUCAGUUAUAUGUAUUCCCAUUAGCGAUAUAUCAUACAAAAGUAUGCUAAUGUUCUCUUUACCUUUGCUUCACCAUCAAAUUUUUGCAUAAAUAAUAUUAUUUAUGGCGUGUAUCUUUCUAUUAGGCUACCAAAUGAUCUGAAGCAAGCAUUAUAAUUUUGCUGACACAUAAAUGUAUUUUUGUUUGACUUACAGUAGUAUGUAAUGAUAGCUGAGAUGUGGAUAGUGCACUGAUGUUACUGAAUUACUGUUUUUGCUAGUCAGGAUUUUCAAUUUUAUGCAGUAGGUAUAAGUAUGAUAUAGGUAUAAGUUGUCAUUUAUGUAUUCCGGCAGGUAAUUUUUUUUUUCAAGUGGUAUGUAUGUAGCUUAGCAAUGGGAAGAAUUAUAAAGUUUUAUUUGUUUGGUUUUAAUGUGUCGACUCAAGUAUACCUGUUAGGCGUGUGCCCCGCCUCGCGUGAGUUUAACUUUGUUUUGCUAUAACUCUGUUACUGUCAUUUAGGAUGUUUUUCUUUCUUUAACUCUAGUUUCCCUUUAGUUGUAUUGCCUACUGAGCAGUAGUUUGUGUUUAGUCUGUUUUUAUUAUACUGCGAAUAUUUAUUACACUCUUACCACGCGUUAGAGACUUUGGCUGGGUUGCAGUACCUGAGUGAGCACAAGUGACAGUUGACAAUGGUCAGUAUUAUUAUGGAAGAGUUGGUAGCAAGUGUCGUGUGACGCGUAGCGUGAGUACGCUGUUGGCGGCUGUGACGUCAAUGACUGAGACCGAGACGAGUGUGUGGGCCGGCGCACGGCAGUUGGACACUGGGGCGCGAUCCGCGACGUGAGUGAAUGCCCGGGAGGACAGGAGCGAGUUACCGGACAGCAUGUGUGGUCGCUGAGGACGAGGCAAAAGCAGUCGUGUGCGAGGUGCACGCGACCCAGACGGCUGCAAGCACACCCAAUGGGGCCUGAGCUUUAACGUUUGCGGAGUUGAUUAGCUGCAAGAUUAGCUUUCAUGGCAACGUAAUUAAGAGAACUCAUAAUGCUAAACACUGGAAGUUUCUCCACUUCAGCCUUUUUGGUUAAUAAUGAGCUCAACCCAUUUAACACCGGUUGGUGUGCACACUUUGUGACGUCACUACGUGUAACCAGUGCACCUUUCCAACUGCGAAACGUUGUGGAGAAAUCCCUUAGCUAUGUCACCCAACAAGUAAACUUGCAAUAGACAGUCAAAGGCCUUUCAGACUCUGCAUUUCCGUAAAAAAUCUUGGUACGAGUGCAACCCACGGACUACUCUAUCUUUGAACGUACUGUAAUAUCUUUUUUUUGUUACUGUUGUAAAUCAUUUUGUAUUCAGACGUGUAACAUCAGGCGUGUAAAACCACUGCUUUUUAUGAAGUCAAGCUUUUGUUUGAAAAUAAAUGUAUCUCAGUCAGAAUUCAAGAACAAGUCAUUGUAAGUUGUUUGUACACCCUGUAGGGCCUAACGUUGCGCGAAUUAUUCUCAUAAUAUUCUCGGCUAAUGUUUGUUUUACUCUGCUUGUUUGCAUGGGUGUAGACAGCGCGUUUAAUUGGUCGAUUUUUUGUGAGAUUACAGCUGGUCUACACCCAAUAUUUAAGUUGAGGCCCACCCUGUGAGGUGGUUUACAGCCUCACUAUUUCAAGUUUUAUAGAAGAGCUAGUAAUAAGAAGUUUAACUUUGGUUUCUGCACAAUUCUAUAGUUUUAGCUCUUUUAAUUCAAUGGAACAUUAAAAAAACACUGUGAAAAAAUUAUGUAUUUUAAUUGGAUAACAAAUAAUUUAAAAAUACUUCUUAAAUUCGGAAUCAAACUUUUAACUCUAUUUUACUGGGUCGGAAAAAUGUUAAGAGAUGUACUGCCACCUGAGACACAGAGUAAUACAGUAAGAAAUUGUGCUGCUCAUAAUUGGUUACACAUGCCUAGCGCAACAGUAAAGUUACAAGUUGGCAAUGCAACAGCAAUAUAUUUGGUUAUUUUUGUGUAUGAUUGUAAAAAGUUCAUAGGUAUAUAUUCAUGAUGUAUUGAUCUUGUACUAUUAUUAGUAUGAUUUUUUAUUUAAAUUGUAAUGUGAAAUUAAAAUUGUUGGAUAUUCUUAAGCUUAGACUAUAAUCGACACAAGCAUAUCAGAUAUCAUUAAUUAAACAUAUAUAUUCAACUCCAUAUUAUUCAGUUUUACCAGCUGCAAUGAUAAGCACAUAGCAUAGUUUUUGUAAUAAGAAAAGUUCAUCAAAUUAUAACUUUCCUUAUGUACUAUCAAUGUGUCCUGGUGUUCAGCCGAUCAGAGUCAGUUAAUGUUGUACUACGCUGUCAAAUUAAAAACAGUUUAAUGGAAGGUGAAAGUGAGUGUAUUUACACGUGAAAAAUAAGGUCAUUUGUUUUGGCUUUUUCUUUGUUGGUUUUAAAAGCACGUGGGUUGCAAAAUUCAAUAUAUUUUUUAAAGGCCUACAUGUAAGCAAAUGGUACUUACGUAUUAUCGCCACCGCAGCAGAAGUUGCGCUAAGUUCGCACACGUAUGCAAUUUUCUUUUGGAUUCAUUGUUGCCUUGUUUGCUGAAUUUUGAUUACAAAAUAAAUAUAUUUUUACCAUAAUAUUGUGGUAAGCUAUUGUACAGGCAGAUGCCCACGUAGUUACAGUUUUUAGCAUAUUAACUGGGGGAGUGAGAGGUUUAUCAAAGGUCUAAUGUAGUUCUUUUAUAUGGGCGUAUGUCACUAUAUGUCUUAUGUAGGAGAAUAUUAUCUUUACUCGAUGUAAUAUUCUUACAGCACAGCUUUUCUGCAAAGUAAUAAUAAAAUUCCUGAAAUACUUUUUUCAAACACUAGGCACAUUCCUGUAUUUACCCUGACAACAGAAUUUCUGAAUUCUUACUGGUUUCUGAGAAAUCAGUUUAUAACUUACCUUACUGUUUGGCUUUUCUGGGUGGGUCUGUCUGUAUAUGAUUUGGAUAACUUGAGUUAAAUCUUAAAUAUGGUCAAUUACGUUAGGUUAGCUACAUUAAAAAUGCUUCAAAACAUAUUGGAUGGUUGGUUAGGUUAGUAUAGUUACAUUACAAAUAGGCUAUUGUAAAAUAUUUCUAAUUAUUGCUUAGGAAUUACCAAUUUAAAGUUUAGCUAUACUAACCCAACUAACAAAGUACCAAUUUUUAAUGUAUCAAUGUUAAACUCUAUAAUCAGGCCAUUUUCCACCAAGAAACCAUCGACUACUUUGUAUUUAAAUAAAGUUUUUUGUAUUUUGAAAGUGUUCUGAUUUUAAAUAAAGUGUUUUAUUUUAUGAUUUGUCACAAAAAUUUUAGGUGUACAUUGGCGGCACUUAAAAACAGUCAAAUAUGUAGCUGCGGUGGCAUUAAUACGCAAGUACCAUAAAAAUGCAACCUGAAUAAAUUUCUCUGAUGCCUACAUGUGGAAUAUCUUAAUCUUGGUACCUAUGUUUAUGUUGAUUGUAGCAAGUUUGCCAUGCGUGUUACAGUGCUUGUCAUUACGACUUUUCCAAGUCUUCAAAAAUUGUUUAUAGGUUUUCUGAUGUCAUUUUUUAAAUGUUUGUCAGCAUUUGUGCAAUAAAACUUUUCAUUACUAGUA